RNAcentral lists this long non-coding RNA (221 nucleotides) under Mytilus galloprovincialis (Mediterranean mussel). Lineage: Eukaryota; Metazoa; Mollusca; Bivalvia; Mytilida; Mytilidae. The record is from RNAcentral.
GUCCAGGAAAAUAUUUUGUCAUAUACAUGUAUACACAGUUUGUCUGACAUGUACUUUUCAGAACUAUCAAGGACGUGAAUGUGAUACAGGGUCUUUUCAGAAGGAAAUAGCAGUAAUUGGGUAUGUAAGAAUAAGGAAAUGACGUAUGAAUGCCAGUUAGACAACUAUGCACAUAAGUUCAAAUAAAGUGAAUGUACGGAAUUAUUGGUAACUGUACGGCC